This 462-nucleotide ribosomal RNA is filed under the name uncultured bacterium. Its description in RNAcentral is "bacterial SSU rRNA". It matches the Rfam family "Bacterial small subunit ribosomal RNA", at positions 34 to 507 of the family's 1533-position model. The record is from RNAcentral.
CGCUGGCGGCGUGCCUAACACAUGCAAGUCGAACGGGACUUAGAGAGCUUGCUCUUUAAGUUUAGUGGCGAACGGGUGAGUAACGCGUGAGAAACCUGCCUUUCAGUGGGGGACAACAGUUGGAAACGACUGCUAAUACCGCAUAAUGUAUCGAGGGGGCAUCCCUUUGAUACCAAAGCUUAAUGUGCUUAGGGAUGAGCUCGCGUCCCAUUAGCUAGUUGGUGAGGUAACGGCUCACCAAGGCGAUGAUGGGUAGCUGGUCUGAGAGGAUGGUCAGCCACACUGGGACUGAGACACUGCCCAGACUCCUACGGGAGGCUGCAGUCGAGAAUCUUGGGCAAUGGGGGAAACCCUGACCCAGCAACGCCGCGUGAAGGAAGAAGGCCUUCGGGUUGUAAACUUCUUUUAGUAGGGACGAAGAACGUGACGAUACCUACAGAAAAAGCAACGGCUAACUACGUG